CAGCCACAUCACAUUGAAAUAUCAGUUCCCAUAAAAUCACCAAAGUUAAGCAAUAUUGAGCAUGGUCAGUACCUAGAUGGGUGACUGCUUGGGAAUACCAGGUGCUAUA
Molecule: non-coding RNA, 109 nt
Organism: Acanthosepion pharaonis
Lineage: Eukaryota; Metazoa; Mollusca; Cephalopoda; Sepiida; Sepiidae
Source: the annotation of a GenBank genome assembly